RNAcentral lists this ribosomal RNA (847 nucleotides) under uncultured bacterium. Its description in RNAcentral is "bacterial SSU rRNA". It matches the Rfam family "Bacterial small subunit ribosomal RNA", at positions 51 to 921 of the family's 1533-position model. The record is from RNAcentral.
ACACAUGCAAGUCGAACGUGAGAAUAGCAAUAUUUGAAAGUGGCAAACGGGUGAGUAACACGUGGGAACCUGCCUCGAAGUGGGGGAUAACGAUUGGAAACGGUCGCUAAUACCGCACGGUUCUGCUCUGAUGGGAAUGGAGCAGAUAAAGAUUUAUCGCUUUGAGAGGGGCCCGCGGCCGAUUAGCUAGUUGGUAAGGUAAAGGCUUACCAAGGCGAUUAUCGGUAGCUGGUCUGAGAGGACGAUCAGCCACACGGGAACUGAGACACGGUCCCGACUCCUACGGGGGGCAGCAGUGAGGAAUAUUGGGCAAUGGGCGAAAGCCUGACCCAGCAACGCCGCGUGGAGGAUGAAGGCUUUAGGGUUGUAAACUCCUUUUGUGGGGGAAAAGAAUGGAUGGUACCCCAAGAAUAAGUCACGGCUAACUACGUGCCAGCAGCCGCGGUAAUACGUAGGUGACAAGCGUUAUCCGGAAUUACUGGGCGUAAAGCGCACGCAGGCGGUCAGAUAAGUCUGAUGUGAAACCUUCUGGCUUAACCAGAAGACGUCGUUGGAUACUGUUUGACUUGAGGCGAUGAGAGGAAUGCGGAAUCCCCGGUGUAAUGGUGGAAUAUGUAGAUAUCGGGGGGAACAUCUGAGGCGAAAGCGGCAUUCUGGCAUUAGCCUGACGCUCAUGUGCGAAAGCGUGGGGAGCAAACGGGAUUAGAUACCCCGGUAGUCCACGCUGUAAACGAUGAAUACUAGGCGUAGGUGGAGUUAAACCCAUCUGUGCCGAAGCCAACGCAUUAAGUAUUCCGCCUGGGAAGUACGGCCGCAAGGCUAAAACUCAAAGGAAUUUCAAAGGAAU